Molecule: transfer RNA, 73 nt
Filed under: Zootermopsis nevadensis
Lineage: Eukaryota; Metazoa; Arthropoda; Insecta; Blattodea; Termopsidae
Rfam family: tRNA
About the family: Transfer RNA (tRNA) molecules are approximately 80 nucleotides in length. Their secondary structure includes four short double-helical elements and three loops (D, anti-codon, and T loops).
Source: Rfam by way of RNAcentral
GCCACGGUGGUCUAGCGGUUAGAACGCUGGCUUUAUAAUCCUGGGGUCUCGGGUUCGAUUCCCGACGGUGCCC